This 1200-nucleotide long non-coding RNA is filed under the name Salmo trutta (river trout). RNAcentral's name for it is "lncRNA (ENSSTUG00000023488.1)". The record is from RNAcentral. Lineage: Eukaryota; Metazoa; Chordata; Actinopteri; Salmoniformes; Salmonidae.
GAGAAGACCGGCUAAAUGCACACUGCCCACAAAAUGACCAUAUUAGAGACACAUAUUACCUUCAGAUUACACAAACCCCCAAAGAAUUCAAAAACAAACCCGAUAUACAUCGUUAAAACACUGUAUAUAGAGUUGAAGUCGGAAGUUUACAUACACUUAGGUUGGAGACAUUAAAACUAGUUUUUCAACCACUCCACAAAUUUCUUGUUAACAAACUAUAGUUUUGGCAAGUCUAUAGGAUUGAGGUGAGGGCUUUGUGAUGGCCAUUCCAAUACCUUGACUUUGUUUUCCUUAAGACAUUUUGCCACAACUUUGGAAGUAUGCUUAGGGUCAUUGUCCAUUUGGAAGACCCAUUUGCGACCAAGCUUUAACUUCCUGACUGAUGUCUUGAGAUGUUGCUUCAAUAUAUCCACAUAAUUUCUCUCCUCAUGAUGCCAUCUAUUUUGUGAAGUGCACCAGUCCCUCCUGCAGCAAAGCACCCGCACAAAAUGAUGCUGCCACCCCCGUGCUUCACGGUUGGGAUGGUGUUCUUCGGCUUGCAAGCCUCCCCCAUUUUUCCUCCAAACAUAAUGAUGGUCAUUAUGGCCAAACAGUCCUAUUUUUGUUUCAUCAGACCAGAGGACAUUUCUCCAAAAAGUACAAUCUUUGUCCCAAUGUGCAGUUGCAAACCGUAGUCUGGCUUUUUUUAUGGCGGUUUUGGAGCAGUGGCUUCUUCCUUGCUGAGCGGCCUUCCAGGUUAUGUCGAUAUAGGACUCGUUUUACUGUGGAUAUAGAUACUUUGUACCCGUUUCCUCCAGCAUCGUCCUUUGCUGUUGUUCUGGGAUUGAUUUGCACUUUUCGCACCAAAGUACGUUCAUCUCUCGGAGACAGAACGCAUCUCCUUCCUGAGCGGUAUGACGGCUGCAUGGUCCCAUGGUGUUUAUACUUGCAUACUAUUGUUUGUACAGAUGAACGUGGUACCUUCAGGCAUUUGGAAAUUGCUCCCAAGGAUGAACCAGACUUGUGGAGGUCUACAAUUUGUUUUCUGAUCACGGCCGGAUGUGACGCAGCCUGGAUUCGAACCAGGGACUGCAGAGAGAGAGAGGAACAGAGAGAGCGAGAGAGAGGAACAGAAGAGAAAGAGAGAGAGAGGAACAAAAGAGAGCGAGAGAGAGGAACAGAGAGAGCGAGACAGAGGAACAGAAGAGAAAGAGAGAGAGA